GAGUGAAGCGGCAAAAGCUCAAAUUUGAAACCUCCGGGAUUGUAAUUUGAAGAUUUGGCAUUGAGAAAAGCUAACCCAAGUUACUUGGAAUAGUACGUCAUAGAGGGUGACAACCCCGUCUGGCUAACCGUUUCUCAUGUAUUGCCUUAUCAAAGAGUCGAGUUGUUUGGGAAUGCAGCUCAAAGUGGGUGGUAAACUCCAUCUAAAGCUAAAUACUGGUGAGAGACCGAUAGCGAACAAGUACUGUGAAGGAAAGGUGAAAAGAACUUUGAAAAGAGAGUGAAAUAGUAUGUGAAAUUGUUGAUAGGGAAGGGAAUGAGUGUAGAGUGGUUGAGGUUUCAGCUGUCCUUUGGGACUGCGUACUGCCGACGCCGAGUCAUUGUUAGCGGGGGGGKGAGGAAUAAMCGGGUUGCACAUUUGGGCUUUUCMCCUCCCUCASCCCCUGCCAUCGACAACWUAWUACACCCUUUCCWCCCUUCUGG
This 482-nucleotide ribosomal RNA is filed under the name Yarrowia lipolytica. Its description in RNAcentral is "eukaryotic LSU rRNA". It matches the Rfam family "Eukaryotic large subunit ribosomal RNA", at positions 91 to 656 of the family's 3401-position model. The record is from RNAcentral. Lineage: Eukaryota; Fungi; Ascomycota; Dipodascomycetes; Dipodascales.